Molecule: ribosomal RNA, 3066 nt
Filed under: Burkholderia mallei 2002721280
Lineage: Bacteria; Pseudomonadati; Pseudomonadota; Betaproteobacteria; Burkholderiales; Burkholderiaceae
Description: 23S ribosomal RNA
Source: RNAcentral
GCCGCUCGAGCGCAUCGCGCCCGGCGCGGGCGCGGCGCUGCGCCGCGGCGCCGAGCACACGCUCGACCAGCUCACGUCGCCCGUGAACCUGUGGCAGGCCGGCUUCGACGCAUCGUGGGAGCUCGACCUGUUCGGCCGCGUGCGGCGCUCGGUCGAGGCGGCGGGCGCGCAGACGCAAGCCGCGAUUGAAGGCCGCAACGACGCGCUGCUGUCGCUCGAAGCGGAAGUCGCGCAGACCUAUCUGCAACUGCGCGGCGCGCAGGCGCUGCGCGCGCUCGCCGACGAGCAGCGCGACGUCGUCGCGCUCACGCGCGAUCAGGCGCGCAAGGGGCUAUCGAGCGAGCUCGACGUGCAAAGCGCCGACGCGCGGCUCGCGCAACUGCGCGCGCAGUUGCCGCAAUUCGACCAGCAGAUCGCGCUGCUGCGCAACGGCCUGUCCUACCUGCUCGGCGACGCGCCGGGCGCGCUCGACGACGCGCUGCGCGAGCCGCGCGCGCUGCCGGAGCUUCCGCCGACGGUGCCGAUCGGGCUGCCGUCGACGCUCGCGCGCCGCCGCCCGGACAUCCGUCGCGCGGAAGCGCAACUGCACGCGGCGACCGCCGGCGUCGGCGUGGCUGUCGCGCAGUUCUACCCGGACGUCUCGCUGACGGGCCAGGUCGGCACGCGCGCGAGCUCGCGCACUGGUCGCAUCUGUUCUAUGCGUUCGGGCCGAGCGUGUCGCUGCCGAUCUUCGAGGGCGGCGCGCUCGUCGCGAACCUGCGCCUGUCGCAGGCGCAACAGGCGCAGGCGGCGCUCGGCUAUCGGCGCGCCGUGCUGCUCGCGCUGCGCGACGUCGACAACGCGCUCGCCGCGUACCGGACCGACCAGACGCGCCGUGACGCGCUGCGUGACGCGGCGGCCGCCGAGCGCACGACGUUCGAGCUCGCGCGCGACAGCUAUCGCCACGGGCUCGUGUCGUUCAUCGACGUGCUCGACGCCGAGCGCGAGCUGUCGCAGGCACGCCAGCAAUACGUGCAGGGCAGCCUGCAACUGACGACCGAUCUCGUCUCGCUGUACAAGGCGCUCGGCGGCGGCUGGCAGCCCGUGCCGGCGGCGCAAACGCCCGCGCCCGCCGCCCUCGACGCCCCGACGCAAGACACGCCGCUCGGCGCAACGGCGCCUGCGCGACGAUGAACAGCCGCUUGAACGGAAACCGCGUGCGGCCGUCGUCUCCGCGCGGAUAGAGCGCAUGCAGGCGCGGCACGUAUCGAUCGAGACAGCGGUCGCGCUCGUCGGCAGCGGGGCCGUCGGUGACGAUCCGCAGGCCCGACACCCUGCUCCAGUCGAGCGCCGGGUGCUCGCCCUCGGCGAUCUGCAGACAAUCGGUCUGCCAGGUGGCCGGCCCCUGAACGCGACGUGCGACGCAUCGCCGCAAGCACCGGGCGGCCGCGCGCGUGCGACGCGCAUCGCACGGCUCGCCCGCGUCGGACGGGCGCGUCAGACCAGCCCGUUCUCCGUCGCGUACAUGAACAGAUCGACGUCCGAUUUCAGCCCGAGCUUGCCCAUCGCGUUGUGCUUGUGCGUGCUGACCGUCUUGAUGCUGCGGCCAUAGCGGUUCGCGAUGUCGGUCAUCGUCAUCCCGGUCGCGCAUAGCCGCACCACCUCGAUCUCGCGCGGGCUCAGUUGCCGCGGCGCGUCGGUCCCGCGCAUCGCUCCCCCGCCCGCCGCGCCCGCGUGCGUGCCGACGAACGGCCGCCCCUGGUACACGGCGGCGAGCGCGCGCGGCAGCUCGUCGAGGUCGCCGCGCUUGCUGAGCACCGCGAGCGCGCCCGCCUGGCGCAUCGUGUGCAUCAGCACCGGAUUGUCGAGCAUCGUCAGCACGAUCACGCGAACCGAGGGAUAGCCGUCGCGGAUCGCGGUGAGCAUCGCGAGGCCGUCGGCGGCCGGCUGCUCGGGCAUCGCGAAAUCGGUGAUGACGAUGUCGCACGGCGUGGCCGCGAGCAGCGCGAGCAGCCCCGCCGGGUCAUGCGCUUCGCCGACGAUCGAUACGUCGCCCAUGCCCGCCAGCAUGUGGCGCACGCCCAGCAGCACGAGCGGAUGGUCGUCCGCGAUCAACACUUGAACGCUCAUUUACCUUCCUCCUUUUGGAUCGCCGCGAUCGCGCGAUUGCGCCGAAUGCGCAACGCAGCGCAGCAGAUGGUUCACCAUCGCGAGAAUGUCCCGGGUCGCGCCGCGAAUCGCGCGCGCGUCGCCCGCCGUCAGCAGAUGGUGGAAUUCGUCGAGCAGCGCGUCGACAUGCGCCUGCCCGAACAGGCUGUACGUGCCGCGCGCCGUAUGGCACCACGCGCGCAGCUCGCGCUCGGACAGGCCGUCGCGCAGAUGGCGCGUGAGCGUAUCCCGGUCGCGUUCGAGCGCGCGGCCGCAGGCGCGCAGGAUCGCGUCGCGCGCCGCGCCUGGCGCGGAGGACGCGCCGAAUCCCGCGAACAGGCGCGCCGCAUCGAUACGCGACGGAUCGAAGCGCAGCGCGGGCACGGGCUCGAUCGCCUCGACGAGCGCACGCUCGAGCGCGUCGAGCGUCGUCGGCUUGCCGAUGCACAGCGUCAUGCCCGCAUCGACGCAGCGCGCAUGCUCGGCGUCCGAUACGAGCGCCGUCACGCCGACGAUGGGCGUCGCGCGCACGCGCGCAUCCGGAUGCGCGCGGAUCGCCGCCGUCAGCGCGAUGCCGUCCAUGCCCGGCAUCCGGCAGUCGGUGAGCACGACGUCGUACGCGGCCGUGCCGAGCGCGCGCAACGCCUCGUCGCCGCUCGCGCAGAGGCGCGCGUGGUGGCCGAGCGCGUCGAGCUGAUAGCGCAGCACGAUGCGAUUCAUCUCCUGAUCGUCGACGACGAGCACCCGAUACGCGCCCGGUUCGGCCCGCGCCGCCGUGUGCGCGCACGCCGCGUCGCGCGCAUCGCGCGCGUCGAGCGCGGCGCGCAGGCCGUCGAUGAACGCUCGCCAGCCGAGCGGAUUGCUGCUCAGGCGCACGUGCGUGCCGCUGUCGGUCCAGCCGGCGAGCGCCGGCGCAUCGGUCACGCCGACCCAGCCGAG